UACGUAGGGGGCAAGCGUUGUCCGGAAUUAUUGGGCGUAAAGCGCGCGCAGGCGGUUUUUUAAGUUAGGUGUUUCAGCCUAGGGCUCAACCUUAGGUCGCAUCUAAAACUGGGAGACUAGAGUGUAGGAGAGGAAAGUGGAAUUCCACGUGUAGCGGUGAAAUGCGUAGAGAUGUGGAGGAACACCAGUGGCGAAGGCGACUUUCUGGCCUAUAACUGACGCUGAGGCGCGAAAGCGUGGGGAGCAAACAGG
This 252-nucleotide ribosomal RNA is filed under the name uncultured bacterium. RNAcentral's name for it is "partial 16S ribosomal RNA". It matches the Rfam family "Bacterial small subunit ribosomal RNA", at positions 524 to 776 of the family's 1533-position model. The record is from RNAcentral.